GACGAACGCUGGCGGCGUGCCUAAUACAUGCAAGUUGAGCGCUGAGGGGUGGUACUUGUUCCUACUGGAUGAGCGGCGGACGGGUGAGUAACGCGUGGGGAAUCUGCCUUUGAGCGGGGGACAACAUUUGGAAACGAAUGCUAAUACCGCAUAAAAACUUUAAACACAAGUUUUAAGAGUGAAAGAUGCAAUUGCAUCAAUCAAAGAAGAUACCGCGUUGUAUUAGGUAGUUGGUGAGGGAAAGGGUCAACAAGGCGAUCGUACAUAGCCGACCCGAGAGGGUGAACGGCCCCCUCUGGACUGAGACAACGCCCCAACCCCUACCGGAAGCAGCAAGAGGGAAUCUUUGGCCAUUGGCCGAAAGCUUACCGAAGCACCCCGCGUUAGUGAAUAAGGUUUUCGGAUCGGUAAACUCCGGUGGUAGGGAAGAACCUUAGUGAUAGUGGAAAGCUCAUCAAUUGACGGUAACUACCCAGAAAGCGACGGCUAACUACGUG
RNAcentral lists this ribosomal RNA (497 nucleotides) under uncultured bacterium. Its description in RNAcentral is "partial 16S ribosomal RNA". It matches the Rfam family "Bacterial small subunit ribosomal RNA", at positions 28 to 507 of the family's 1533-position model. The record is from RNAcentral.